This is a long non-coding RNA of Callithrix jacchus (white-tufted-ear marmoset), 2632 nucleotides long. RefSeq lists it as uncharacterized. The record is from RefSeq and is a predicted model, not a curated record. NCBI's taxonomy places the organism in Eukaryota, Metazoa, Chordata, Mammalia, Primates, Cebidae.
UGUUGAGGCCCAGGCUGCUAGAGCGGGCAGAGGAGGCGGAGAUACCCUGUUUCCUAGAGGGCCUGCCUGGUUUCCCCAGGAGGACCCGGCCUAUUGAGUGACUAGGGUUCUAGCCGAAAGAGGAAGAGGGACAGGGCCGGGUGUGAUGGGGCCUAGAGUCACAGAGCCCUGCGGCCCUGCUGUCCCUGCAAGAAGCCAGCUUCUUCCUCCUAUUUUGCAACCUUCUCCCGGUAUCCUUGAACAUUUUAGGGACACCCAUCACUUACCCUGUAUAGCAACCCUAUUAAAUAUGGGAGUCUCCACCAUGUUGCGCAAGCUGGAGUGCAGUGGUGCGAUCUCGACUCACUCAACCUCUGCCUCCAAGGUUCAAGUUAUUCUCCUGCCUCAGCUUCCGGAGUAGCUAGGACUACAGGAUCUCUCCUGACUCCACUAAUCUGGCCGCAUGACUGGUGGGCACCUGAGGACCCUCCCUUCUUCCUCUGCUACACAUCACUGACUGACCCACACCCUCACCUCCCCACUCCUCCCAUGUCUACCCUCAAACAAAAAGACGGCAGCCAUCACAGAUGAGUAACUUUAUAUUCAGUACAAAUGUUUAUUUUUGCAAUGAGAACUGCACAAAAAAAAAGAACCUUUCGUAUAUAUAAGUGAAAAGUCUGAAUUCCCUUCUACAAAUGUCUAAAGUGUUUAAUACAAGUCUCAGAUUCACUGACAUAAUUAUUGGCCAAGCGAUCCGUGCAUACAGUACAGUAGGGGCUUGUACACACCUCUUACUCUGGUAUAGGACUAAAAGUUCCUAGUACUGUGGGAAGGAUUGGGAAAUGGCUGGAGAAACUAAAUAGAUCCCAGUUCUAAUUACAACCCAGUUAGAGAGACACCCAUCAGGGAGGUGUGGAGAAGGCCAUGACAGAGUUAAAUCUUCAGCAGGAAGGUGUAGCCAAAACUAUCACUGGGAAAGUGUCUGAACAAAACCAGGAACAAAAAUAAGGGGAUGGGAUGAGAUGGAAAAAACCUCGAAGAACCUAAAUACGUCACACUUGAAGUGGCACAGAGGUCUUUGAGGAAGUGCCUGGGUGGGCAGGGACGUUAAGGAAGGGAGGUGGGCGCUCUGGCUGGAUGCCUAAAUAAUACCCUCAAAGGGAGGUUUGGCAGAUCCAAAGACAAAAAAGGACCUUUCAGGUCGAAAAGUGGGGAUGUAGGUUAAUAAACAGUGCUAGAAAUGUUUCAGUUUGUCUCUGCAUACAUAUACAUUAUAUACUUUUAUCUUACAUCUUAGGGGCUCUUGUUGGGCAUCACCCGUGCCUCGUGGCUGGGGCAUGUGGGCCUAGGUGGGCACACAGGGAGGGCAGCUACCUGUGGGCUUUCUUGGGCAGGAAUAUGUGUGCAUGUGUGUGUAUGUGCAUGGCAGGGUGAGGAUUCUAAUGGUCCGGGGGGGGGAAUGUAGAUUUCUCUAGAAUAUCUGAUUAACCCUGAGCUUAAAUGAAAGGAGUUAGGUAGAGGCAGGCAAGGUGGAAGAAGUUGCCCAAGUCCUUUGGUGAGUGGGGGAUGGGAUGAAGGAGAGUGCAGGGGAAGAAUACUGUCUGGAGUUUGGCCAGGGUUCUGCUGGAGCAUGCCCUCCAUCUUGGCCAGGGUCCACAAGGAUGAGUACCUGGCUCGGGUCACAGCUUCGGCUUGAAGUGGCUGCUAUGAGCCUGCGUGGCUCCUGUCCAGGGCAGGCAGGGAUAGGCCACAGGAGAGGGGCUAAUUCCUGGUGAUAGUUCUUGUACAGAGGUGGUCCGGGGUCCAGGGGGGGCCCCUGGGCCUAGCCUAGGCAACAACUGGUUCACAAAGAAAUGUCAGGGAGACGCCAGCAUUAAAAAAGAGAGAUGUGUUUAUUCCAUGAUCAGUACAGACCAAAUGCAUAUUCACCGUAUGAAAGUCAAACCAGUCAGUGACUCCAGAGUUUGGCCAACACUGAGGCACCAGUGUCGUGGUGUAGAGUGGGUUCUCAUGGCACACGUAACCUCACCAAGGGCUCCAAUUAUUUAAAAAAAAAAAAAGCAUGGGCAGGAGCGAGUGGCCGCUAGUCAGGGCUGGGCACCAGGUGAGGGAAUCUUUGCCUCAGUCUGUGGCGCCCCUGGGGCCUGGUGCCCACCUUGUCCCUUGGCCCUUCCUUUAUCAGUUUAAAAAACAAAACAAAACGAAACAAAACAAAAACCUCAAAACAGAUCUGACAUUAAAAAAAAAGCCAACAAAUGAGGGGUGAGGUGGGAGGAGGGGAAGGAAAAUAAAUUGCAGCUUUCUGGUUUUAUAAUUAAAAAUAGACGAAGUUUGAAACCGAGUAAAAUAUAGGCAGGAUUUUUUUGUGUUUUGUCUUUUUUGUGGAUUUUUUUGAGCUUUUUUUCUUUUUUACACCAGUUUGGUGGAGUCACGAACAAACUUCAAAGAUAUGCCAACUAUGUUCACUAUACAGUACAGCCACGGUCACACACUACCCACAGCGCGGUGGCAGCCGCCGCUCAAUGAGGAGACGAUCACACCAUUUCAGAGAUAAGCAGUGCCAUGUGUCUGGAGAAGAGAUAAUUAAAAAUAAAAUAGAAUUCAACAAAAAAUAUAUAUAGGAAAAAAACAAACAAACAAAACAAAACAAAAC